This is a long non-coding RNA of Haliotis rufescens (red abalone), 1117 nucleotides long. RefSeq lists it as uncharacterized. NCBI's taxonomy places the organism in Eukaryota, Metazoa, Mollusca, Gastropoda, Lepetellida, Haliotidae. The transcript is spliced from 6 exons. The record is from RefSeq and is a predicted model, not a curated record.
CAUCAUUUUGUUGUUGUUUUUUAUCUCCGGUCUAGACAGGCUAGACUUAGAUUUAGUAUCUUAAUACGGUAUAUGUAUUUUAUACAUCACCUAAUUACAAUUUUAACAACCAAUUAAUAGAUAGAUCUAUAGAUAUAUAUUAAUCCGGUCUUAUAGAAGAUCGUUACGGCUUUCAUUAAUACAUGCCAUUGUAUGUGUAUUUGUUUGAUAGAACUACACAUAUUUAUAAGAACUGAUCGUUACAAAAUAUAUUGGCAAAAUUUGUCUUCGGAAAAAUCGUCCCGACGUGGUCAGAAAGAGUUAUCCCCCUUGGCCGGCAUAGCGAUCGGUUUUCGAUCAAACAUUUAUCGAUACUGAGAUGGAGAACGUCAACGUGCCUGCUGACCCUGCACAUGACGCAUGUUUGUAUUCUAUGGUAUCCAAGUGGGCUGUGUCCUGCCACAUUCAGGAAAUUUGAGGUGCAACCCUUGUAGGAAAUCAGGAGGAACAUGUUAGAUAUUUACCACUUGAUGAGACCCACCAGCGUGGAAAUGGUGCUGACAAGCCAAGGAAAAUAAUCAUGGUUUCCCUGUCCAGUUACAAGAAGCCUGGUGUAAAUAGCUUGUUUGGUCCAGUUGCACCCAACAAAGGGCAACUACCAUGCUGUAAUGAAACUUGAUGGUAUCAGUUUACACCAACGCUAAACUACAUAUACAGCUCCCAAUACAGUGUGCUUUGAGAAGGGAGAGCAACUAUGCCCUGUACGUUUCUGGAAAGAAGAAGUGUUGAGAAGAAGAGUUCUGUGUUGAAGUCAGCAUUGACAUCCUGAGUAGUGAAAAGAUCAGCAGGGAGUAGCAUCAGUUCGCUACUGUGUGGUGGGACAGUGUUUCUCCCUAUACUCAUGGACAGUACUGUACAUCUAAACAUAUGAUUCAUAUUAUAUAUUGUUUCAUAAUGUGAGGUGUGUUUUUUUCAUUCAAAAUAUCAAUUAUCAUAUAUGGUGAAUUUAGCAUCUUACAAAUAUACUGUGCAUGGAAUUUCUUCACUGACACUGUUUUCAGCAUUUUGAGGCAAAACUCUUUUCAUGUGUUACAUUUAUGUUUAUUGUUUCCUCAACAAUAAAGAACUAGCAAAAUGA